ACAGUAAUAAUUCGAGGUACUUUACAAAUGCUUAUUUACGAAAGAUAAAUUUUUAAAUAAAAUAGAUAACUGCGGUUAUCGACUGAAAUAUCGAUAUUAGAGAAAACCCGUUUAUUAUUUGAGAGAGAGAGAGUAGGAUAAAACUCGUUAGAACCGUUCUUUGAAAAUAACAAAUGGCUGACUUCUUAAGUUGUCAUCAAACUCGUUGAAGAAAAAUAGAAUUAAAUAAAUGAACGUUAUUCAAGAAAACUAAUAAAUCUUUACCCACAAGUUAUGUUAAAUAAUAAAAUAAAAUUAUCAUCCGACUCACUGUGUAAAAGAAAGGAUUGGAUUAUGGAUUGUCUCUUGUGUUCGGGGCACUAACUAAUUUUCUGGAUUGUCUACAGGAUUCUUCUUACGGGAAAUUGAACUGUUUGUUCUUCGGAAAUAGGGUCUUGGAUGAUCUUGAAGAAGUAUCAGUAGUUUUCGGAAUAGGUUGUAGGAUGAUUCUCUUUUUAUUUUAAUAUUACAUACAUUGGAGUACACGCCAAAUUUCAACAAUGAGUAAAGUU
This 551-nucleotide long non-coding RNA is filed under the name Onthophagus taurus. RNAcentral describes it as "uncharacterized LOC111420249". The record is from RNAcentral. Lineage: Eukaryota; Metazoa; Arthropoda; Insecta; Coleoptera; Scarabaeidae.